UUCCUAAGAGGAAAGGAUAGAGCCAGGAACCAGGUGAAGGGAUGCACACAUUCCAUUCCACUGGUCCAUGUACCAGCUCCUGUCUGCCCACAUCAGAAACCAGUAUGUGCCAUGUUCUCCCUGGCACUUCUGAAUGUGAAUCCUUCAUCUCGUGACAAGGGCUCAUGCCAUGUGCUACAAACCAAGGGGGAACAGCACAGCAUUCCUUAUUUCUGUUAUCCCGGGGACUUGCACGCCACUGCUCUUCCAUCUGUUUUAAGAGAGAAGUCAUUCAGCACAUCAACAUUUGAACUGCUGCUGGGACGAUGGGCAGAGCAGAGAUGGAGGAGGUGUUGUGCUGGAAGAUGUUAAGGGCUGCCCAUCAGCCAGCCCUUUGAUCCAGAAACACUUCCAGACCUGGUUAAAACUGCUGGGUCUGUGAACCAGAUGGUGGGGAUUCUUCACAUCCCCAGCUUCCCCCUCCCAGCUUCACAAUUCCCAUUGAAAGCAAUGAGAUUAUGUUCACUUCAGAAUUUGAACAGCCUUUCCAAGUUUUGGUUAAGUACAAACAGCAAGCAAAGGCAACUGAGCGUGGACAGGUGUACAAUCCUGCUUGACACCACAAACGCAUCAUUCACAGCCCUCUCUCCCCUCAUUUGCUAACAUAAAAUCUAAGUGACUUCACAGAACACAGUAAAAUUACACUGAAUUAAACGUGGUUCACCUGAGGCCACCACAAGGUAGUUGCUAACAGGAAAUGCCAGUGACUUUACCAGGAGCAGCAUCCUCACCGCUGCCAAAUAUUUUGUCCUGUAUCGCAGUUUCACAUCAAAACCACUCUGUCCCUGACUUAGAGUUGUAGCUAGUGGUGACAUCUGUGCUAGUUCCCUAAAUAAAACAAUGCCAAAUUGCGAUACAAAUGUGUUAUCUUGAGUGUGUUUGCUACUACAGCUCCUUUUCACAGCCCUAACAAAAUGCUUUGUGUCUGCACGUCUGUUCUAACACAACAGUUUUGUUUAUUUUAUAGGCUUACAAUAAAAAAAAAAAUCACACUUUAUGAGCUACAUGAUAAUAUUUCAACAAUACCUUGUUGUGACAUGAUGCAGUGUAAUUAUCCAGGAGAUACUACAAUGUAUUGUUAUGUCAGUGAGUCAUACCCUUCAGGGCUUC
Molecule: long non-coding RNA, 1149 nt
Organism: Gallus gallus (chicken)
Lineage: Eukaryota; Metazoa; Chordata; Aves; Galliformes; Phasianidae
Source: Ensembl